RNAcentral lists this ribosomal RNA (207 nucleotides) under uncultured bacterium. RNAcentral's name for it is "partial 16S ribosomal RNA". It matches the Rfam family "Bacterial small subunit ribosomal RNA", at positions 568 to 774 of the family's 1533-position model. The record is from RNAcentral.
CGCGUAGGCGGCUUGGUAAGGUUGCGGUGAAAGCCCGGGGCUCAACCCCGGGUCGGCCGUGGCAACUGCUGAGCUGGAGCACUGUAGAGGCAGGUGGAAUUCCGGGUGUAGCGGUGGAAUGCGUAGAGAUCCGGAAGAACACCGGUGGCGAAGGCGGCCUGCUGGGCAGUAGCUGACGCUGAGGCGCGACAGCGUGGGGAGCAAACA